RNAcentral lists this long non-coding RNA (821 nucleotides) under Oreochromis niloticus (Nile tilapia). Its description in RNAcentral is "lncRNA (ENSONIG00000022929.2)". The record is from RNAcentral. Lineage: Eukaryota; Metazoa; Chordata; Actinopteri; Cichliformes; Cichlidae.
GCUUACGAUUUAUUAAGACUCCUGUGCCUGAUUCUCAUUAUCAUACACAAUACAGAAAAGCCAAGCAUUUAAAAACACUUGUAAAUAUGAGAAGGGUGAAAAUUAGGUGAUGAAUGUUCUGGAUGUUCUUGUGCCAAGUGAAGCAUUAUUUUCUGACGGCAAAGCGAAGGGUUUAAAGGGGCGGUGUACUGGCUACAGUUUGGGUAAUUCCCCAAUUUGCACAGUUACCAGACUGCAAGGUGUGCAGAGUAAGUUAAUGCAGUGCACACAUGCAUAGCAUUCUUAUAUAGACUGUCAUUUGUAGUCUUCAGUGUACAAAUGCAUGCAAACUGUGCACAAACUGCACCCAGGCGCAAGGGCUCCCACAGAACACAGUUUCCACUUAUCUUACCUGGGGAUCUCUUCUCCUUGCACCCGACUGCAGCCUGCCGCUCCCCACCUUUCCACCUGUAGCAUAUCCACCAGCCCUGGAUCUCCGUGCAGUAUUUUGACCGCACAGACGAGAAUCACAAUCCCGGCGUCCAAAGUCACAACUUCAAAAAGGCUCUCUGAAUUAAAGGAUGUGGUGUCCGGUUUUUGAGAAGAUUUUUAGGAGGUGUAUCAGCCUUUCACCGCUGGCAGUUUACUGUGCAGAUGAAGAGAAUAAGGCUGGGUUUGCUGUAUAUUUGUAGCCCUGGUGUGCUGACAUGUGAUGACAGAAGGCUGGCAGCCUCCUCCAUCUGGCCUCGCUCUUGGAAGCAGUCUGGUUCACCUAUCUGUGUGUGUCUGAAACCCUGGCUCUUGGCUGACUGCCCUACACCAUAAAUUACUGUGUUCAUGAU